This 406-nucleotide ribosomal RNA is filed under the name uncultured bacterium. RNAcentral's name for it is "bacterial SSU rRNA". It matches the Rfam family "Bacterial small subunit ribosomal RNA", at positions 355 to 776 of the family's 1533-position model. The record is from RNAcentral.
UGGGGAAUAUUGCACAAUGGGCGAAAGCCUGAUGCAGCGACGCCGCGUGAGCGAAGAAGUAUUUCGGUAUGUAAAGCUCUAUCAGCAGGGAAGAAGAAAUGACGGUACCUGACUAAGAAGCACCGGCUAAAUACGUGCCAGCAGCCGCGGUAAUACGUAUGGUGCAAGCGUUAUCCGGAUUUACUGGGUGUAAAGGGAGCGCAGGCGGUACGGCAAGUCUGAUGUGAAAGCCCGGGGCUCAACCCCGGUACUGCAUUGGAAACUGUCGGACUAGAGUGUCGGAGGGGUAAGUGGAAUUCCUAGUGUAGCGGUGAAAUGCGUAGAUAUUAGGAGGAACACCAGUGGCGAAGGCGACUUACUGGACGAUAACUGACGCUGAGGCUCGAAAGCGUGGGGAGCAAACAGG